GCCCUCUUCGGCAGGACAGAUACUAAAACCGGAAUGAUACAAGGGUCAUUAGCAUGGCCCCUGCACAAGGAUAGCAUGCAAAUUCAUGAAGCAUUUCAUAUUUAA
Small nuclear RNA from Ochotona princeps (American pika), 105 nucleotides. The record is from RefSeq and is a predicted model, not a curated record. Lineage: Eukaryota; Metazoa; Chordata; Mammalia; Lagomorpha; Ochotonidae.